Physella acuta is the source of this 91-nucleotide small nucleolar RNA. RefSeq annotates it as small nucleolar SNORD12/SNORD106. The record is from RefSeq and is a predicted model, not a curated record. Lineage: Eukaryota; Metazoa; Mollusca; Gastropoda; Physidae.
GUCUUUGAUGAUGAUGACUUAUUUUUUCCCCUCGGCAUAUCGAAAUGUGCUGAUAACAGUUUUGAAAGCCAAUUUUGUCUGAAUCAAAGAC